AGGGUUUGAUCAUGGCUCAGAACGUACGCUGGCGGCACGCCUAACACAUGCAAGUCGAACGAAGUAGCAAUACUUAGUGGCAGACGGGUGAGUAACAUGUGGGUAUCUGCCCUUUGGCCUGGAAUAACACGAGGAAACUUGUGCUAAUACUGGAUAAGUCUUUACGGAGAAAGCUUUAUGCACCAUUGGAUGAGCCCGCACUUGAUUAGUUUGUUGGUGGGGUAAUGGCCUACCAAGACUUUGAUCAAUAGCUGAUUUGAGAGGAUGAUCAGCCACAUUGGGACUGAGACACGGCCCAAACUCCUACGGGAGGCAGCAGUGGGGAAUCUUGCACAAUGGAGGAAACUCUGAUGCAGCGAUGCCGCGUGAGUGAAGAAGGCCCUUGGGUUGUAAAGCUCUUUCGUCGGGGAAGAAAAUGACUGUACCCGAAUAAGAAGGUCCGGCUAACUUCGUGCCAGCAGCCGCGGUAAUACGAAGGGACCUAGCGUAGUUCGGAAUUACUGGGCUUAAAGAGUUCGUAGGUGGUUGAAAAAGUUGGUGGUGAAAUCCCAGAGCUUAACUCUGGAACUGCCAUCAAAACUUUUCAGCUAGAGUUUGAUAGAGGAAAGCAGAAUUUCUAGUGUAGAGGUGAAAUUCGUAGAUAUUAGAAAGAAUACCAAUUGCGAAGGCAGCUUUCUGGAUCAUUACUGACGCUGAGGAACGAAAGCAUGGGUAGCGAAGAGGAUUAGAUACCCUCGUAGUCCAUGCCGUAAACGAUGUGUGUUAGACGUUGGAAAUUUAUUUUCAGUGUCGCAGCGAAAGCGAUAAACACACCGCCUGGGGAGUACGACCGCAAGGUUAAAACUCAAAUGAAUUGACGGGGACCCGCACAAGUAGUGGAGCAUGUGGUUUAAUUCGAAGAUACGCGCAGAACCUUACCAACACUUGACAUGUUCGUCGCAACUUUAAGAGAUUAAAGUUUUCGGUUCGGCCGGACGAAACACAGGUGCUGCAUGGCUGUCGUCAGCUCGUGUCGUGAGAUGUUGGGUUAAGUCCCGCAACGAGCGCAACCCUCACUUUUAGUUGCCAUCAUUAAGUUGGGCACUCUGAAAGAACUGCCAGUGAUAAGCUGGAGGAAGGUGGGAAUGACGUCAAGUCCUCAUGGCCCUUACGUGUUGGGCUACACACGUGCUACAAUGGUAUCUACAACAGGAAGCGAAACAGCGAUGUUAAGCAAAUCCUUAAAAGAUACCUCAGUUCGGAUUGCACUCUGCAACUCGAGUGCAUGAAGCUGGAAUUACUAGUAAUCGUGGAUCAGCGUGCCACGGUGAAUGCGUUCCCGGGUCUUGUACACACCGCCCGUCACACCAUGGGAGUUGGUUCUACCUUAAGGCAAGGUUUAAUACCCUUGACCACGGUAUAGUCAGCGACUGGGGUGAAGUCGUAACAAGGUAGCCGUA
Molecule: ribosomal RNA, 1439 nt
Filed under: uncultured bacterium
Lineage: Bacteria
Description: bacterial SSU rRNA
Rfam family: Bacterial small subunit ribosomal RNA
Source: RNAcentral